CCUACGGGUGGCAGCAGUGAGGAAUAUUGGUCAAUGGACGAGAGUCUGAACCAGCCAAGUAGCGUGAAGGAUGACUGCCCUAUGGGUUGUAAACUUCUUUUAUAUGGGAAUAAAAUGUUCCACGUGUGGGAUUUUGUAUGUACCAUAUGAAUAAGGAUCGGCUAACUCCGUGCCAGCAGCCGCGGUAAUACGGAGGAUCCGAGCGUUAUCCGGAUUUAUUGGGUUUAAAGGGUGCGUAGGUGGAUUGUUAAGUCAGUUGUGAAAGUUUGCGGCUCAACCGUAAAAUUGCAGUUGAAACUGGCAGUCUUGAGUUCAGUAGAGGUGUGCGGAAUUCGUGGUGUAGCGGUGAAAUGCUUAGAUAUCACGAAGAACUCCGAUUGCGAAGGCAGUUCACUGGACUGCAACUGACACUGAGGCUCGAAAGUGUGGGUAUCAAACAGGAUUAGAUACCCUUGUAGUC
RNAcentral lists this ribosomal RNA (460 nucleotides) under uncultured bacterium. Its description in RNAcentral is "partial 16S ribosomal RNA". It matches the Rfam family "Bacterial small subunit ribosomal RNA", at positions 338 to 795 of the family's 1533-position model. The record is from RNAcentral.